UACAGAGGGUGCGAGCGUUUUUUUUGUCCGGAAUCACUGGGCGUAAAGGGCGCGUAGGUGGCGCGACAAGUCAGUGGUGAAAGUUCGACGCUCAACGUCGAAUCGGCCACUGAUACUGUUGGGCUUUGAGCACUGUAGAGGCUAAUGGAAUUCCGGGGUGUAGCGGUGGAAUGCGUAGAGAUCCGGAAGAACACCGGUGGCGAAGGCGGUUAGC
RNAcentral lists this ribosomal RNA (214 nucleotides) under uncultured bacterium. RNAcentral's name for it is "partial 16S ribosomal RNA". It matches the Rfam family "Bacterial small subunit ribosomal RNA", at positions 524 to 729 of the family's 1533-position model. The record is from RNAcentral.